Molecule: ribosomal RNA, 253 nt
Filed under: uncultured bacterium
Lineage: Bacteria
Description: partial 16S ribosomal RNA
Rfam family: Bacterial small subunit ribosomal RNA
Source: RNAcentral
UACGUAGGUGGCAAGCGUUGUCCGGAUUUAUUGGGUUUAAAGGGUGCGUAGGCGGCCCUGUAAGUCAGUGCUGAAAUAUCCCAGCUUAACUGGGAGGGUGGCAUUGAUACUGCGGGGCUAGAGUACAGAUGAGGUAGGCGGAAUUGACGGUGUAGCGGUGAAAUGCUUAGAUAUCGGCAAGAACACCUAUAGCGAAGGCAGCUUGCUGCACAAUCAUUGACACUGAGGCACGAAAGCGUGGGGAGCAAACAGG